This 862-nucleotide long non-coding RNA is filed under the name Monodelphis domestica (gray short-tailed opossum). Its description in RNAcentral is "lncRNA (ENSMODG00000034353.2)". Lineage: Eukaryota; Metazoa; Chordata; Mammalia; Didelphimorphia; Didelphidae. The record is from RNAcentral.
UAUUAGAGUUGGCUGAGCAUGAAAACCAUAAUACAUUAUGCCAAGGAAUCUGUUAUCACUGUGAUGUAACACAGAGAAAUGGUCAGAAUAACCAGAAGAAUGGCCAGAAAGAGGUGUGGCCAAGGAUGUAGCCAGAGGACUCUAGAUGAAUGAAGGUAAUCUUGAGGGGAAGGGAGCUCAAAGAGUCUGGAGGCGAAUUUUAAGCCUUUUCAGACUCUACUGCCUUAUUCAUCCUAACUGUUUCAGGAUAUUCCCCUUCCCACAGUGGAGAAGUCUCUAUUAUGUAAUCUUAAAUACAGAUCUAAGCCCAGGAGAUAAAGUGUAUCUAAAAGAUGGGUUCAGUUGUCUGUCACAAGAUUUUGGAAUUGUUUGUCCAAUAAAUUGUGAAGAUUGGAUUUGUCUCUCCCCUGAUUGUAACAAUGAAGGUACUUAGCUCUUCCUUGAUUGUAAACUUGGAAUGAAGAGACACUUGGAGUGAAGAGACAUACUUAGAGUGGAGAGAGACACUUGGAGUGGAGACUGACAAUUUGAAUGGAACCUCCUGUAAGAAGCAGUUCUACUGGAGUUGAGGAUGAUAAAGAAACUGCUGAUUGAACUGACAUGUGGUGCGUGUAAAGGCUGACUUCUUUUCCUUGACUCCUUCCGCUGGCUGGGGCCUUUGAAUUCCUACCUGGAUCAGAGGAAGCUGAAGCUCUUUCUCUCUCUCCAUUUCUUCUCUUUCUCUCUUCCUUAAUAUCUUCCCUCUAUUGUAAAACAAAUUCCAUUCUGACUUUAGUAAUUCAUUUUUGGUAUUUGGUAAUUAAAUCCCUGUUGACCAAUUAAAUAUAUAUAUAUAUAUUCAUAAAUUUAACAAAAUGCAAAU